AGGGGGACCUUCGGGCCUCUUGCCAUCAGAUGUGCCCAGAUGGGAUUAGCUUGUUGGUGAGGUAACGGCUCACCAAGGCGACGAUCCCUAGCUGGUCUGAGAGGAUGACCAGCCACACUGGAACUGAGACACGGUCCAGACUCCUACGGGAGGCAGCAGUGGGGAAUAUUGCACAAUGGGCGCAAGCCUGAUGCAGCCAUGCCGCGUGUAUGAAGAAGGCCUUCGGGUUGUAAAGUACUUUCAGCGGGGAGG
This 252-nucleotide ribosomal RNA is filed under the name Salmonella enterica subsp. enterica serovar Chester. RNAcentral's name for it is "partial 16S ribosomal RNA". It matches the Rfam family "Bacterial small subunit ribosomal RNA", at positions 202 to 447 of the family's 1533-position model. RNAcentral also lists the same sequence under 3 other names. Lineage: Bacteria; Pseudomonadati; Pseudomonadota; Gammaproteobacteria; Enterobacterales; Enterobacteriaceae. The record is from RNAcentral.